AAUGGCCUGUUGGUGGGAUACCAGGCUAGAAACCUGGAGGCCGCUGGUUCGAGCCCGGUA
Molecule: transfer RNA, 60 nt
Filed under: Oxyrrhis marina
Lineage: Eukaryota; Dinophyceae; Oxyrrhinales; Oxyrrhinaceae
Source: RNAcentral